This 85-nucleotide non-coding RNA is filed under the name Sediminibacillus halophilus. Its description in RNAcentral is "c-di-GMP sequence". It matches the Rfam family "c-di-GMP-I riboswitch aptamer". Rfam says of the family: GEMM was predicted in a large-scale screen for bacterial structured RNA regulatory elements. Lineage: Bacteria; Bacillati; Bacillota; Bacilli; Caryophanales; Bacillaceae. The record is from RNAcentral.
UAGAGAGAAAGGCAAAAUCAUUGAAAAAUGAUGACGCAAAGCUAAAGGGGCUAAGGGAAUUUUUCUACGCCAGCCAGCUACCGUC